Molecule: ribosomal RNA, 391 nt
Filed under: uncultured bacterium
Lineage: Bacteria
Description: bacterial SSU rRNA
Rfam family: Bacterial small subunit ribosomal RNA
Source: RNAcentral
GUGUCAGCAGCCGCGGUAACACGUAAGUUGCGAGCGUUGUUCGGAAUUAUUGGGCGUAAAGGGCAUGUAGGCGGUUAUCUAAGCUUGGUGUGAAAGGCAGGGGCUCAACUCCUGGACUGCAUUGAGAACUGGAUAACUAGAGUUACUGAAGUGAAAUCAGAAUUCCAGGUGUAGGGGUGAAAUCUGUAGAUAUCUGGAAGAAUACCAAUGGCGAAGGCAGGUUUCAGGCAGAUAACUGACGCUGAGGUGCGAAGGUGCGGGGAGCAAACAGGAUUAGAUACCCUGGUAGUCCGCACAGUCAACGAUGUACACUGGAUGUCUGGGAAAGAUCCUGGGUGUCGAAGCAAACGCGAUAAGUGUACCGCCUGGGGAGUAUGCCCGCAAGGGUGAA